RNAcentral lists this unclassified non-coding RNA (284 nucleotides) under plant metagenome. Its description in RNAcentral is "partial contains small subunit ribosomal RNA, internal transcribed spacer 1, and 5.8S ribosomal RNA". The stretch from base 1 to 53 matches the Rfam family "Eukaryotic small subunit ribosomal RNA", at positions 1778 to 1831 of the family's 1831-position model. The record is from RNAcentral.
GGAAGUAAAAGUCUAACAAGGUUUCCGUAGGUGAACCUGCGGAAGGAUCAUUGUUGUAUAACCGAGGUGCGAGGGCUGUCGCUGACCCGAAAGGUCGUGCACGCCCGAGUGCCCUCACACACAUCCAUCUCACCCCUAUGUGCACCACCGCGUGGGUCCCCCUUUGGCUUGUUCGGAGGGGGGCUUACGUUUUCACACAAACUUUGUAUGCAGUGUAGAAUGUAUUUUUUGUUUUUGCGAUCACGCAAUCAAUACAACUUUCAACAACGGAUCUCUUGGCUCUC